AACGCACAUUGCGCCCGCCAGCACUCUGGCGGGCACGCCUGUCCGAGCGUCAUUACAACCCUCAGGGCCCCCCUACGGGCCCUGGCGCUGGGGAUCAGCCUCCCGGCUGGCCCCGAAAUCCAGCGGCGGUCGCCCGCGACCUCCCCCGCGCAGUAGCGAUACCUCGCGGCGGGAUAGCGGGACGGCCACGCCGUAAAACCCCCAACCACCCAGUGUUGACCUCGGAUCAGGCGGGACUACCCGCUGAACUUAA
RNAcentral lists this unclassified non-coding RNA (253 nucleotides) under uncultured fungus. RNAcentral's name for it is "partial contains 5.8S ribosomal RNA, internal transcribed spacer 2, and large subunit ribosomal RNA". Lineage: Eukaryota; Fungi. The record is from RNAcentral.